Molecule: ribosomal RNA, 738 nt
Filed under: uncultured Actinomycetes bacterium
Lineage: Bacteria; Bacillati; Actinomycetota; Actinomycetes
Description: bacterial SSU rRNA
Rfam family: Bacterial small subunit ribosomal RNA
Source: RNAcentral
GCUUACACAUGCAAGUCGAGCGAUGAAGUUUCUUCGGAAAUGGAUUAGCGGCGAACGGGUGAGGAACACGUGAAGAAUCUGCCCUCCACUUUGGGAUAACACCGGGAAACCGGUGCUAAUACUGAAUAUUGAAACAUAAGUGGCAUCACUGAGUUUUGAAAGAAUUUUGGUGGAGGAUGACUUCGCGGCCUAUCAGCUAGUUGGUGAGGUAAUGGCUCACCAAGGCAACGACGGGUGGCCGGCCUGAGAGGGCGACCGGCCACACUGGGACUGAGACACGGCCCAGACUCCUACAGGAGGCAGCAGUGGGGAAUAUUGGGCAAUGGAGGCAACUCUGACCCAGCGACGCCGCGUGCGGGAUGAAGGCCUUCGGGUUGUAAACCGCUUUCAGUAGGGAAGAAGCGAAAGUGACGGUACCUACAAAAGAAGCACCGGCUAACUAUGUGCCUGCAGCCGCGGUAAUACAUAGGGUGCAAGCGUUGUCCGGAAUUAUUGGGCGUAAAGAGCUCGUAGGUCGUUUGUUACGUCGGAUGUGAAAACCUGAGGCUCAACCUCAGGCCUGCAUUCGAUACGGGCAAACUAGGGUUUGGUAGGGGAGACUGGAAUUCCUGGUGUAGCGGUGGAAUGCGCAGAUAUCAGGAGGAACACCAAUGGCGAAGGCAGGUCACUGGGCCAAUACUGACACUGAGGAGCGAAAGUCUGGGGAGCGAACAGGAUUAGAUACCCUGGUAGUCCAGA